AUUCAUCUGAUGAUGGACUUUUGGGUUGCUUCCACCUCUUGACUAUUGGCAUAGCCCCAUUUUUAAAAUAUUGCAAUUUAAUUUAACUCUUACCUUCUCAUUCCCUCUGGUGGAUUUAAUAAAUGCAAUAUCAUCUGUAAGGCACGUGUUCCAAUAAGGAAGAGAAUGUAGCAUGAGAAGAGAGUUGAAGGCAGAACCCUAGGGAACCCAGUUCUUUUAAGAUGCCAGGAAACUAAUAAGAAGGAGGACGAUAAGGAAGGAUCAGUGGGAAAGAAGAAGCCCCAGGGAUAGGAGCGCUUCCAAGAGGAAGAAGACAAAGGUCAGAAAGUACAAGGAGGCCAAGUAAGGUAUCAGAUGAUGAUGACGAUGAUGAUGAUGAUGAUGAUGAUGAUGAUGAUGAUGAUGAUGAUGGUGAUCAUAUCCAGAGAGAAGCAAAGUGAAUGUGUACCAUUGUGUCUUGAAUCCAGCUUGGCCAUAAGGAAAUGGGGCGAGACUUUGUCAUGUAUGUCGCUGAAGUUCAGCUAUGCAAAAAUGUUCACCUAUCCUUGAUCAACCAGUCCAGGAACCAUCAAAGAAGAAAAUGAGAUUCGACUUAGAAGACCUGUUCUUUAUAAACCCCUGCACAGCCCUAAUGAUCAACACCACUUCCAGUGCUCAUAAAUUACUGCUUCAAUAAUUGUUCUGCAAUUCUGCCUAUUCUCAUUGAAUGCUUCGUAUAAUCCCUUUAUUUACUUUGGGCUACGAUUCAUUUUUAUCAGUGAGUAUUGUACUUGUUUCAUCU
RNAcentral lists this long non-coding RNA (781 nucleotides) under Homo sapiens (human). RNAcentral describes it as "HSALNT0377419". The record is from RNAcentral. Lineage: Eukaryota; Metazoa; Chordata; Mammalia; Primates; Hominidae.